RNAcentral lists this ribosomal RNA (355 nucleotides) under uncultured Rhodocyclaceae bacterium. RNAcentral describes it as "bacterial SSU rRNA". It matches the Rfam family "Bacterial small subunit ribosomal RNA", at positions 1026 to 1382 of the family's 1533-position model. The record is from RNAcentral. Lineage: Bacteria; Pseudomonadati; Pseudomonadota; Betaproteobacteria; Rhodocyclales; Rhodocyclaceae.
CGCGGAACACAGGUGCUGCAUGGCUGUCGUCAGCUCGUGUCGUGAGAGUGUUGGGUUAAGUCCCGCAACGAGCGCAACCCUUGUCAUAGUUGCCAUCAUUUGUUGGGCACUCUAAGUGAGACUGCCGGUGACAAACCGGAGGAAGGUGGGGAUGACGUCAAGUCCUCAUGGCCCUUAUGGGUAGGGCUUCACACGUCAUACAAUGGUCGGUACAGAGGGUUGCCAACCCGCGAGGGGGAGCUAAUCCCACAAAGCCGAUCGUAGUCCGGAUCGCAGUCUGCAACUCGACUGCGUGAAGUCGGAAUCGCUAGUAAUCGUGGAUCAGCAUGUCACGGUGAAUACGUUCCCGGGUCUU